Molecule: ribosomal RNA, 512 nt
Filed under: uncultured bacterium
Lineage: Bacteria
Description: partial 16S ribosomal RNA
Rfam family: Bacterial small subunit ribosomal RNA
Source: RNAcentral
GAUGAACGCUGGCGGCGUGCCUAAUACAUGCCAGUCGAACGAAACUUCUUUAUCGCCGCGUGCUUGCACUCACCGAUAAAGAGUUGAGUGGCGAACGGGUGAGUAACACGUGGGCAACCUGCCCAAAAGAGGGGGAUAACACUUGGAAACAGGUGCUAAUACCGCAUAACCAUAGUUACCGCAUGGUAACUAUGUAAAAGGUGGCUAUACUACCGCUUUUGGAUGGGCCCGCGGCGCAUUAGCUAGUUGGUAGGGUAAAGGCUUACCAAGGCAAUGAUGCGUAGCCGAAUUGAGAGGUUGAUCGGCCACAUUGGGACUGAGACACGGCCCAAACUCCUACGGGAGGCAGCAGUAGGGAAUCUUCCACAAUGGGCGAAAGCCUGAUGGAGCAACGCCGCGUGGGUGAAGAAGGUCUUCGGAUCGUAAAACCCUGUUGUUAGAGAAGAAAGUGCGUGAGAGUAACUGUUCACGUUUCGACGGUAUCUAACCAGAAAGCCACUGCUAACUACGUG